Molecule: ribosomal RNA, 253 nt
Filed under: uncultured bacterium
Lineage: Bacteria
Description: partial 16S ribosomal RNA
Rfam family: Bacterial small subunit ribosomal RNA
Source: RNAcentral
UACGUAGGUGGCAAGCGUUGUCCGGAUUUACUGGGCGUAAAGAGCGCGCAGGCGGUCGUUCAAGUCGCGUGUGAAAGCCCCCGGCUCAACUGGGGAGGGUCACGCGAUACUGAUCGACUCGAAGGCAGGAGAGGGAAGUGGAAUUCCCGGUGUAGUGGUGAAAUGCGUAGAUAUCGGGAGGAACACCAGUGGCGAAGGCGGCAUCCUGGACCGGCAUUGACGCUGAACAGCGAAAGCCAGGGGAGCAAACGGG